AUUCCAGCUCCAAUAGCGUAUAUUAAAGUUGUUGCGGUUAAAAAGCUCGUAGUUGGAUUUCUGCUAGGGACGAUCGGUCCACCCACUGGGUGUGUAUCUGUGUCGGCCUUGGCAUCUUCCUGGCGAACGCAACUGCACUUGACUGUGUGGUGCGGUAUCCAGGACUUUUACUUUGAGGAAAUUAGAGUGUUUCAAGCAGGCGCACGCCUUGAAUACAUUAGCAUGGAAUAAUAAGAUAGGACCUGAGUUCUAUUUUGUUGGUUUCUAGAGCUGAGGUAAUGAUUAAUAGGGAUAGUUGGGGGCAUUCGUAUUUAACAGUCAGAGGUGAAAUUCUUGGAUUUGUUAAAGACGGACUACUGCGAAAGCAUUUGCCAAGGAUGUUUUCAUCA
RNAcentral lists this ribosomal RNA (389 nucleotides) under Polykrikos sp. RNAcentral describes it as "partial small subunit ribosomal RNA". It matches the Rfam family "Eukaryotic small subunit ribosomal RNA", at positions 582 to 975 of the family's 1831-position model. Lineage: Eukaryota; Dinophyceae; Gymnodiniales; Gymnodiniaceae. The record is from RNAcentral.